AGUCGUAACAAGGUCUCCGUUGGUGAACCAGCGGAGGGAUCAUUACCGAGUUUACAACUCCCAAACCCAUGUGAACAUACCUACUGUUGCUUCGGCGGGAUUGCCCCGGGCGCCUCGUGUGCCCCGGAUCAGGCGCCCGCCUAGGAAACUCAACUCUUGUUUUAUUUUGGAAUCUUCUGAGUAGUUUUUACAAAUAAAUAAAAACUUUCAACAACGGAUCUCUUGGUUCUGGCAUCGAUGAAGAACGCAGCGAAAUGCGAUAAGUAAUGUGAAUUGCAGAAUUCAGUGAAUCAUCGAAUCUUUGAACGCACAUUGCGCCCGCCAGUAUUCUGGCGGGCAUGCCUGUCUGAGCGUCAUUUCAACCCUCAUGCCCCUAGGGCGUGGUGUUGGGGAUCGGCCAAAGCCCGCGAGGGACGGCCGGCCCCUAAAUCUAGUGGCGGACCCGUCGUGGCCUCCCCUGCGAAGUAGUGAUAUUCCGCAUCGGAGAGCGACGAGCCCCUGCCGUUAAACCCCCAACUUUCCAAGGUUGACCUCAGAUCAGGUAGGAAUACCCGCUGAACUUAAGCAUAUCA
This 572-nucleotide ribosomal RNA is filed under the name Clonostachys sp. T003-F2-1. Its description in RNAcentral is "eukaryotic LSU rRNA". The stretch from base 203 to 356 matches the Rfam family "5.8S ribosomal RNA". The record is from RNAcentral. Lineage: Eukaryota; Fungi; Ascomycota; Sordariomycetes; Hypocreales; Bionectriaceae.